This 1012-nucleotide long non-coding RNA is filed under the name Cairina moschata (Muscovy duck). RNAcentral's name for it is "domestica (muscovy Duck (domestic type)) lncRNA (ENSCMMG00000013470.1)". Lineage: Eukaryota; Metazoa; Chordata; Aves; Anseriformes; Anatidae. The record is from RNAcentral.
CAGAGAUACAACCAUAGCUUGCAGUAGCAACGCAUUUGCCAACAAGCAGGUUUGUUGGGUUUUUGUCCCCUCCCUUCCCCCCCCCCUCCUCCCUCCCCCCUCCCCCUUUUUUUCUUUUAUUUUGGUUGGGAAGAAAAAAAAAAUAAAAAUGAGGCCUCUAAAGUUUUUGAUAAAGCUGCUUAGAAAAUGUCAAUAACUUUGGUCUACUGUCAGGUGUAAUCCAAUUCUUUCUGCAGUUUUUAUCUUUAUUUAUAGAGCUAGUGACGGUGAUUAUGCUGCUUUCAUGCUUACAAACUCACAGCUGAUCUAAUCAAACACUUGCAUCAUCUGUAACAAUGAUGCUCACCAAUAAACCUGCCCAUUGUGGUUCUGCAUUUUUAAGAUGUUUUUGUCUGUUUGUUUGUUUUUAUUUCAGGGGAUUAGAAAAGCUCUGGAAAACACAAGCACGUCUAGCAAAAUAUCCUGGUGAUCUUAUGUGUUCCAUCACAGUGGAUGUGAACAUGCUGGUUGUGAAAUCCCUGAUCAGGAGCUCCAAACAAAGCUGCCUUCUCCAGAACAGGAGCUGCACACUUCGCUGUCCCCCCAUCGCAAAAGCAUGCUUCAGAGUAUUUACGCAGAGAGUAGUACUGCUGCCAUCUGCUUGCUGAAGGAAGUAUCAGCACCGUCUUGUUAUGAACACAGUUCUGCUUGUGUCCCAAAUCACCUUUGUUUUCCCCAAGUCUAAAUAUUUAAUCAGAAUUUUUAUCUCACUUGCGCUGUGCAUCCACCAGACAACCCACCUACACUUUCUCUUUUCCCUUAGCUACAGCAACACAAAACAAGUAGCAUGAACACUAUAGUUUCCUAUUUCAUGAUGGGAUUAGAGCUACCUAAUAAGAUGCCAGCUCUGGCAGAAACAUCGCCUGCAGCUGUGGCAUUAAUAAUGCCUCUCUCUCGCAUGGAUUCCCUGACUUCUACUAGGACUGAGCUCUUGCUGCAAUAGGGACCUUCACUUGGCAGAAUGUUUUUGCAA